AGAGUUUGAUCCUGGCUCAGGAUGAACGCUGGCGGUAUGCCUUAUACAUGCAAGUCGUACGAGAGUUUUUAACUCAAGUGGCGGACGGGUGAGUAACACGUAAGAAUUUGCCUUUAGGAGGGGGAUAACAACUGGAAACGGUUGCUAAUACCCCAUAUGCUUUCGAGUGAAAUGGAUUUCCGCCUAAAGAGAAGCUUGCGGCUGAUUAGCUUGUUGGUGGGGUAAUGGCCUACCAAGGCGACGAUCAGUAUCUGGUUUGAGAGGACGAUCAGACACACUGGAACUGAGACACGGUCCAGACUCCUACGGGAGGCAGCAGUAGGGAAUUUUCCGCAAUGGGCGAAAGCCUGACGGAGCAAUACCGCGUGAGGGAUGACUGCCUAUGGGUUGUAAACCUCUUUUUUCAGGGAGGAACAAAAUGACGUGUACCUGAAGAAUAAGCAUCGGCUAACUCCGUGCCAGCAGCCGCGGUAAGACGGAGGAUGCAAGUGUUAUCCGGAAUCACUGGGCGUAAAGCGUCUGUAGGUGGCUUGAUAAGUCAACUGUUAAAUCUUGAAGCUCAACUUCAAAAUCGCAGUCGAAACUAUCAGACUAGAGUAUAGUAGAGGUAAAGGGAAUUUCCAGUGGAGCGGUGAAAUGCGUAGAGAUUGGAAAGAACACCGAUGGCGAAGGCACUUUACUGGGCUAUUACUGACACUCAGAGACGAAAGCUAGGGUAGCAAAUGGGAUUAGAUACCCCAGUAGUCCUAGCCGUAAACAAUGGAUACUAGGUGUUGAACAGAUCGACCUGUGCAGUACUAAAGCUAACGCGUUAAGUAUCCCGCCUGGGAAGUAUGCUCGCAAGAGUGAAACUCA
Molecule: ribosomal RNA, 855 nt
Filed under: uncultured bacterium
Lineage: Bacteria
Description: bacterial SSU rRNA
Rfam family: Bacterial small subunit ribosomal RNA
Source: RNAcentral